GGAAGUAAAAGCGUAACAAGGUUUCCGUAGGUGAACCUGCGGAAGGAUCAUUACUGAGUGAGGGCCCCUCGGGGUCCAACCUCCCACCCGUGUUUAACGAACCUUGUUGCUUCGGCGGGCCCGCCUCACGGCCGCCGGGGGGCAUCUGCCCCCGGGCCCGCGCCCGCCGAAGCCACCUGUGAACGCUGUCUGAAGUAUGCAGUCUGAGACAAUUAUUAAAUUAAUUAAAACUUUCAACAACGGAUCUCUUGGUUCCG
RNAcentral lists this unclassified non-coding RNA (257 nucleotides) under plant metagenome. Its description in RNAcentral is "partial contains small subunit ribosomal RNA, internal transcribed spacer 1, and 5.8S ribosomal RNA". The stretch from base 1 to 53 matches the Rfam family "Eukaryotic small subunit ribosomal RNA", at positions 1778 to 1831 of the family's 1831-position model. The record is from RNAcentral.